GGGCUGUUAGCUCAGCGGUAGAGCGCUGCCUCGACAAGGCAGAUGUCGCAAGUUCGAUCCUUGCACGGCCCACCA
Molecule: transfer RNA, 75 nt
Filed under: Rhodanobacter sp.
Lineage: Bacteria; Pseudomonadati; Pseudomonadota; Gammaproteobacteria; Lysobacterales; Rhodanobacteraceae
Also listed under: 3 other names
Description: tRNA-Val
Rfam family: tRNA
About the family: Transfer RNA (tRNA) molecules are approximately 80 nucleotides in length. Their secondary structure includes four short double-helical elements and three loops (D, anti-codon, and T loops).
Source: RNAcentral